RNAcentral lists this long non-coding RNA (824 nucleotides) under Sorghum bicolor (sorghum). RNAcentral's name for it is "long non-coding RNA (SBIC_LNC003379)". The record is from RNAcentral. Lineage: Eukaryota; Viridiplantae; Streptophyta; Magnoliopsida; Poales; Poaceae.
UGCCUAUGCUGAAUUGCUCCAAUCUUCUGGGUUACUGGGUUCCAAAAAUUUGUGAUCCAAACAGUCCUUCAUUGGCUAUGUUGCGACCUAAUGCACCACUUAGCUCUGCCCUUAUUAACAUGUUUGGUUCAAGGUAUGUUUUGUGCUCGUUUUCAUGGAACUGGAAACUACAAUUUGGAGAUGCACGAGUCAUUGGUGCUCCUGCAUGCAUUUCCCAUGGCAGCUCUUGUUUAUCAACUCAAGUUCAACACGAGUUCCACUGGAAAUUAGUUUCUUAAGCUUGUAAUCACUGUUGGAUGCUCAGUAAGCUUGUCGAUGAAAAUGACUCGCUGCUUGACACACUUACUCUAGAAGAUACACCAUUUUGUCCUGGAGAUGCCCGCUGUCUUCGGCUGUGUUUCUUAGAUUUUUUCUAUGUAUUUACCUAUCCAUUUCACCUUGCAGUGACAUCACAGCCCUGGCAAAAGCCAAGGUCUACUACACAUAUGUUGGGCUGGAUGAGAUGACCAUUCAUCUGGUAUGCUAGUAAAUGCCACAUUCAUCUCGGUCAAGUCUUUUGGUUGAAAGCUGAAACAACUGGUUUGAGCUAGCUGACCUUGUUUAACUUAAUUAUUAUAUAUGGUGAUUUGGUUAGAGGAACUAUUCUGGGAAGAGGUGGGAAUUUGAAAAUCACUAUCUCGCUGCUAUUCUCUCUAAGCAGUUUGGAAAAUAUAUAGGUUGGGGAUGUUAUGGUUGAUUUUGUGCUUCUUUGGAGGAAUCGACUUUUUUGUGUGUGUUGCGCACACAUUCAUGUCUGUAGUGUUUGAUUGACUUUCUUUUUUUCG